AUCUUUGGAGUGAUUUAUUACACUGACACAUAAGGAAGUCACCCUCUUUCUCCAGGUUGCCUCCUCACGUCUUCCCUAUCAGGAUCUCCUUCCACACUUAGUGCUCAGUGGAAGGUCCAGGUGGCUGAGGGUGGCGGUAGCUAGAGAGUAGUGAUAGGGACAGGAGGCAGGGAAAUUCUGGGCGGAAGAGGGCAGGUCCCCGGCAAAGGCUCCACCCUCAAACCUGGAACCGCAGCCUAAAGUGAGAACAUUUAGCAUUGCCUGUUUCACUGCUAGAAUGUUGCGUUUUCCAAAACCACCCAUGGCCCACCUUGCCCCCAAUUCUGCGCAUAUAAAAACUCCAGGCUUCGCCUGCAGAGAAGAGGAGAAGCGGCGGGACCUCAGAGACUAUGGAUGGACCUUGGAGAGAAGCAGCUUGACUCCAGAGGGACAGCUUGACAGCGUUGCUUCAUAGAGGAGUCUGGCCGUUCCCAGCCAGACUCUGGGGGAAGAUUAUCUUCCCACUCUAUCCCCUUUCCAGCUCCCCUUUCAUCAGCAAUAAAAUCAUCUGUGUCACCACCCUUCAAUUCAUUCGUGCAACCUGAUUUUUCUUGGACGCUGAACAAGAGCUCAGGUGCCACGGGUGCAGAUACUAAAGGCUGUCACACUGAUUCUCUGCCCUCGCUGGUGGAGAGCAACCGCCUCAUGCAAAAAGGCAGAGGGCCCACUGAGGUGUUUUACACUUAAGCUGUCCAUGGAUGGCAAAGCUAAAAGAGCACUGUCACACACGCCCUCUGGGGCUUCCGGGCUCGCAGGUGCUCCCCCUAGCCGCACAGAGUUUUGCUCCUGCCAGUGCCCAAAAGCACUUGCCCUGGCUCCUGCACCCACUCACCCAUGCUCCCCCCUCCUGCAAGGGGUUGAACGCAAUGGGACAGAGUGAGUGGAGUCUUCUGCCGGCAUCCAAGUGGCUGGCUACUUCUAGCACCUGUGCACUCCAGUUCCCACCUGCCAAGGGGUCAGGGAAAUUUUCCUGCUUCAGUAGGAAUAUGAACACCGAGCCCUAUCAAAAGGGUACAUGAGUUGUUUUACUUUAGAAAUAGAUGAAAAACAUGUAGAUUUCACUAACUAUUUUUGACUACUUGCAGAAAUUGAAAGUUAAAAAUAUGCUCAGCAUUUUAGAGGUUUUGCAUUGCAAUGAAGAUACGUGAAGGUAGGUGCAUACUGCUGGCCCUCAUGGCUUUAAGCAAAGUAGAUACAAGAUAAGCAUACUUAAAAACAAACAACCUGAAGCAGAUUAACAAUAUUUGGCCGUGCAGAAGAGAGUGUGGGAAGCAUUACCAUGAGACUGUAAUUUCGUAGCUUUUAUCUGACCAGAUAGACAGCUCUGCUGGUUGAAAAUUUGGUGCUCAUAAGUCCACAAACCAACCUUACCCUGCCUAGGUCUUUGAAGUAGAGCAUUGCUCAUGUUUUGCAGAUUAUGUUUUUAUCACUGUUAAAACUCAGGUUAAGUCCCAAAUCCUUUGACCAAUAAUAAUGUAUUCUAAUUAUUAAGCACCUAUACCAGGUACCCUGCAAAGUGUUUCCCAGUCAUUGCUAUUACUUUUUGAAACUAAUCUGAAAUAGAGUUAUCAUCAUCUAUUAGAAAUGAGACAAAUAACUUUCAAGGAGAAUGAGUAACUAGCCUAAUAUCAUAUGGUUAGUGAGCUGCAACUUAAAUCUGGAUCUAUGGUACCCCAUUAUCACUCUUCUCAGACCCCAUAACCCCUUCUUCAUAGGGAGAUGAGGAUGACAUAAAUUUGUUUAUCUGAAGAGAUUCUGCUAGGGAAAAGCAAGAAAUGUGACUAUUAAGCUCUUUGUUCUUGCCAUCUAAACUCUUCUCAGGGCCCUGUAGAAAGUUAAUGGCUAUUCCAUGGGAAACCAAGAAUAUAUUUGUGGCAGGCAAUUUGUUGCCUAUUUAGUAGCUACUUCUUAUCUUCUAUGAGAACUUAAAAUCCUGUUGGUCUAAGCAUGGUAACCCCAUUUCUCUUUACUGUGAUUGAUUUAAGGACGGGCAUGUGACAGAGUUCUGGCCAACAGGAUUUCAGGAACAGAGAAGUUGCUUUGGGGAAGGAUUCUGCUUCCUAAUAAACGAAGGUGCUGGCAAAGAUAUUGACAUCUAGCUUCCUUGAACGUGGGAGAAUGUGACGUUUGGAGCUGCAUCAAUCAUCUUGUGACCUUAAAGAGACAAGCCUGAGGAUAAGAAGACAUGGAGGAGGGCAGAGCGAAGGCCAGGAGGAAGCCUGGAUCCUGACCAUACGGCUGAGCUACAGAUCAGUUUCUAAGGCCAGACUUCUGGCUAUGUUAGGGAUUGAUUGAGUUAUCACCCAAACCAGGAUCCUUUUCAGAAUGGAAGUGGGUACUAUCAGAAAUAGCACAAAUACAAACAUGGCACAGUGGGACAUGUGGUCAGCCCUAUGUGAGGUCUCGGAGUGUUAUUAUUGCUGUCACAAAUAUUCUACUACUUGCAACCCAAAUCAGUCCUAGCUUAUAUAUAU
This 2513-nucleotide long non-coding RNA is filed under the name Homo sapiens (human). RNAcentral's name for it is "HSALNT0383603". The record is from RNAcentral. Lineage: Eukaryota; Metazoa; Chordata; Mammalia; Primates; Hominidae.